UGAUAUUCCUGUACCACCUAUAAUCGUUUUAAUCGAUGGGGGGACGCAGUAGGAUAGGCGAAGCGUGCGAUUGGAUUGCACGUCUAAGCAGUAAGGCUGAGUAUUAGGCAAAUCCGGUACUCGUUAAGGCUGAGCUGUGAUGGGGAGAAGACAUUGAGUCUUCGAGUCGUUGAUUUCACACUGCCGAGAAAAGCCUCUAGAUAGAAAAUAGGUGCCCGUACCGCAAACCGACACAGGUAGUCAAGAUGAGAAUUCUAAGGUGAGCGAGCGAACUCUCGUUAAGGAACUCGGCAAAAUGACCCCGUAACUUCGGGAGAAGGGGUGCUCUUUAGGGUUAACGCCCAGAAGAGCCGCAGUGAAUAGGCCCAAGCGACUGUUUAUCAAAAACACAGGUCUCUGCUAAACCGUAAGGUGAUGUAUAGGGGCUGACGCCUGCCCGGUGCUGGAAGGUUAAGAGGAGUGGUUAGCUUCUGCGAAGCUACGAAUCGAAGCCCCAGUAAACGGCGGCCGUAACUAUAACGGUCCUAAGGUAGCGAAAUUCCUUGUCGGGUAAGUUCCGACCCGCACGAAAGGCGUAACGAUUUGGGCACUGUCUCAACGAGAGACUCGGUGAAAUCAUAGUACCUGUGAAGAUGCAGGUUACCCGCGACAGGACGGAAAGACCCCGUGGAGCUUUACUGUAGCCUGAUAUUGAAAUUCGGCACAGCUUGUACAGGAUAGGUAGGAGCCUUUGAAACGUGAGCGCUAGCUUACGUGGAGGCGCUGGUGGGAUACUACCCUAGCUGUGUUGGCUUUCUAACCCGCACCACUUAUCGUGGUGGGAGACAGUGUCAGGCGGGCAGUUUGACUGGGGCGGUCGCCUCCUAAAAGGUAACGGAGGCGCUCAAAGGUUCCCUCAGAAUGGUUGGAAAUCAUUCAUAGAGUGUAAAGGCAUAAGGGAGCUUGACUGCGAGACCUACAAGUCGAGCAGGGUCGAAAGACGGACUUAGUGAUCCGGUGGUUCCGCAUGGAAGGGCCAUCGCUCAACGGAUAAAAGCUACCCCGGGGAUAACAGGCUUAUCUCCCCCAAGAGUUCACAUCGACGGGGAGGUUUGGCACCUCGAUGUCGGCUCAUCGCAUCCUGGGGCUGUAGUCGGUCCCAAGGGUUGGGCUGUUCGCCCAUUAAAGCGGUACGCGAGCUGGGUUCAGAACGUCGUGAGACAGUUCGGUCCCUAUCCGUCGUGGGCGUAGGAAAUUUGAGAGGAGCUGUCCUUAGUACGAGAGGACCGGGAUGGACAUACCUCUGGUGUACCAGUUGUCGUGCCAACGGCAUAGCUGGGUAGCUAUGUGUGGACGGGAUAAGUGCUGAAAGCAUCUAAGCAUGAAGCCCCCCUCAAGAUGAGAUUUCCCAACUUCGGUUAUAAGAUCCCUCAAAGAUGAUGAGGUUAAUAGGUUCGAGGUGGAAGCAUGGUGACAUGUGGAGCUGACGAAUACUAAUCGAUCGAAGACUUAAUCAA
RNAcentral lists this ribosomal RNA (1496 nucleotides) under Staphylococcus aureus. RNAcentral describes it as "partial 23S ribosomal RNA". It matches the Rfam family "Bacterial large subunit ribosomal RNA", at positions 1431 to 2925 of the family's 2925-position model. The record is from RNAcentral. Lineage: Bacteria; Bacillati; Bacillota; Bacilli; Caryophanales; Staphylococcaceae.